Molecule: ribosomal RNA, 518 nt
Filed under: uncultured Leptodontidium
Lineage: Eukaryota; Fungi; Ascomycota
Description: SSU rRNA
Rfam family: Eukaryotic small subunit ribosomal RNA
Source: RNAcentral
AAAGAAUAAGCCAAGCAAGUCUAAGUAUAAGCAAUCUAUACGGUGAAACUGAGAAUGGCUCAUUAAAUCAGUUAUCGUUUAUUUGAUAGUACCUAACCUACUUGGAUAACCGUGGUAAUUCUAGAGCUAAUACAUGAUAAAAACCUCGACUUCGGAAGGGGUGGAUUUAUUAGAUAAAAAACCAAUGCCCUUCGGGGCUCCUUGGUGAUUCAUAAUAACUUAACGAAUCGCAUGGCCUUGCGCCGGCGAUGGUUCAUUCAAAUUUCUGCCCUAUCAACUUUCGAUGGUAGGAUAGUGGCCUACCAUGGUGUUAACGGGUAACGGGGAAUUAGGGUUCGAUUCCGGAGAGGGAGCCUGAGAAACGGCUACCACAUCCAAGGAAGGCAGCAGGCGCGCAAAUUACCCAAUCCCGACACGGGGAGGUAGUGACAAUAAAUAAUGAUAGCAGGGCCCUUGCGGGUCUUGUAAUGGAAUGAGUACAAGGGAACCGUAGCGAAUCGCAACCAAACUUUUUUUUU